Molecule: unclassified non-coding RNA, 328 nt
Filed under: soil metagenome
Description: partial contains 5.8S ribosomal RNA, internal transcribed spacer 2, and large subunit ribosomal RNA
Rfam family: 5.8S ribosomal RNA (bases 3-119)
Source: RNAcentral
GAGAAGAACGCAGCGAAAUGCGAUAAGUAAUGUGAAUUGCAGAAUUCAGUGAAUCAUCGAAUCUUUGAACGCACAUUGCGCCCCCUGGUAUUCCGGGGGGCAUGCCUGUCCGAGCGUCAUUACAACCCUCAAGCUCAGCUUGGUGUUGGGCCCCGCCGCCCCGGCGGGCCCUAAAGUCAGUGGCGGUGCCGUCCGGCUCCGAGCGUAGUAAUUCUUCUCGCUCUGGAGGCCCGGUCGUGUGCUCGCCAGCAACCCCCAAUUUUUUUCAGGUUGACCUCGGAUCAGGUAGGGAUACCCGCUGAACUUAAGCAUAUCAAUAAGCGGAGGA